This 189-nucleotide unclassified non-coding RNA is filed under the name fungal sp. Its description in RNAcentral is "partial internal transcribed spacer region". The stretch from base 1 to 46 matches the Rfam family "Eukaryotic small subunit ribosomal RNA", at positions 1786 to 1831 of the family's 1831-position model. The record is from RNAcentral. Lineage: Eukaryota; Fungi.
AAGUCGUAACAAGGUUUCCGUAGGUGAACCUGCGGAAGGAUCAUUAGAGAGGGGAGAUUGUUCCAUGUGAUGUGAUAUGAAUGUGAGUUUGGUCGUUGGACCAAGAAUUUUUAGUAUUUUACAGAUUUUCUGAUUUUCUAAUUUUGAAAUUAACCAGUAAAACUGGCAGCAAUGGAUCCCUCGGUUCUC